ACGUUAUUAAUCAAGACACCAACAUCCAAUCCUUCAAUAGUCUCCUGAAUUUUCUUAACACCCUCAUUGAUAUCGCCGCUGAAAUCAACAACAACGGUCUUGAUUUGGACCUUGCCAUAUUUGGACUGAAUAGAAUCCGAAACAUCUUUGAGCUUAUCGGGAUUUCGACCAACCAAAACCAGAUUAAGACCCUUUCGAGCCAAUUGAAAAGCGAAACCUUUGCCAAUACCGUCAGUAGGUCCGGUUACGAGAGCCCAUGAUCCAUAUUUCUUCAGAUUCUUGGCCGGCCUGAGGAAAUUGACGUAAACCCAUUUGAGGAAAGCGAAGAAGAAUUUCAAAACUGAUAAAGAACCCAUAGUGAAUAACACAAGAAGCCAGCCAGUAAGGCUGUUCUUUGAGCUUAUCUACAAAACAAAGCUCCAUUUUGGAGAGCAACUGUUUUCUUCGAUCAAAAAUGAAAAGAGAGAGAUCUGGGAAGUGGGUUUUGCUCAAGAAAGAAUAAUAUAGACAAAAAAGAGAGUAUCCCUGUUCCUAUAUUGGAUUUUGAGAUUGGUGGAAAUGGGUGAGAAUUGACUACACAAACGGUAGCUAACAAAGAAAAACAGAGGGCGAAGUGAAGCAGAGAAGAAGUAGGGUUAGGAAGAAGCAGUUGAGAGUGAGAGAUUUAUUAAGAUUUGAAAUGGGCAGAGGGUGGCAAAGUAGAUGAGCUGAAAACCACCGCAUUUAACAACUAUUGAUGAACAGCCAUACCAGAACAAGAGGAUAGGACCUCUGCCUCCGUCUUUUGAGUACUUUCUUUUUUUUUUU
This 807-nucleotide unclassified non-coding RNA is filed under the name Hevea brasiliensis (rubber tree). The record is from RNAcentral. Lineage: Eukaryota; Viridiplantae; Streptophyta; Magnoliopsida; Malpighiales; Euphorbiaceae.